RNAcentral lists this ribosomal RNA (162 nucleotides) under Lycaste macrobulbon. RNAcentral describes it as "5.8S ribosomal RNA". It matches the Rfam family "5.8S ribosomal RNA". From Rfam's summary of the family: 5.8S ribosomal RNA (5.8S rRNA) is a component of the large subunit of the eukaryotic ribosome. It is transcribed by RNA polymerase I as part of the 45S precursor that also contains 18S and 28S rRNA. Functionally, it is thought that 5.8S rRNA may be involved in ribosome translocation. The record is from RNAcentral. Lineage: Eukaryota; Viridiplantae; Streptophyta; Magnoliopsida; Asparagales; Orchidaceae.
GACUCUCGGCAAUGGAUAUCUCGGCUCUCGCAUCGAUGAAGAGCGCAGCGAAAUGCGAUACGUGGUGCGAAUUGCARAAUCCCGCGAACCAUCGAGUCUUUGAACGCAAGUUGCGCCCGAGGCCAUCCGGCCAAGGGCACGUCCGCCUGGGCGUCAAGCGUU